ACAUCAUGAGCCGCUUUGCAUCCGUUUUUUCUGGUCAGAAGAAUGGAGCACUGGAUGAAGUGGAAAAAAACAAAGGCAAAGAGAGGAUUUCACAAUAAUCCAAACAAAUGCAAUUCUGAACCAUGAAUAUAGCAAGAGAAUGAAGAGAAGCAUUUAGGGAAACAACCCAGGGACAGAUUUAUAUAAAUUGUUAAACAACUGGAUAUGUAAGAUAAACGAGUUAAGGAAUAAUAUCAAUAGCAAUUAUUUUAGCUUAGGAGAUAGAACACUGAGUAUCUUUAGUGAAGGUGGGAAAUCUAAGAAGAAGAACUUGAGGGAGAAGUGUAUGCUUGGGUGGAGGUCGAGAGUUGCUAGAAUCAAGGGGAAGAAAGGAAGACUUCUGCACGAAUUUUAAGCAUGGAAAUAUUUUGAGAAGAUACUAAGUACCAGGAUGCUGAGGGAUACAAGAACACUAAAAUGAACACUUUGAUUCUUAAACCUCAUACAACUUUACCUUGUUACUCUCUUCUCUCCUCUGGUCUAUCACAGCUUCUUAUCUCUGACUAGCAAAUUGUGCUAUUUGGAUGAAGGCACUUCCAUUUAAUUAAACAUUUUUUUCAUAAGUGAAUUUUUUUUUUUCUAAGCCCAAGAGCCUAUAUUCAGCUUGUUAACCUCAUUAUAUCCAUAAGAUCACUCCAGUGAAAUUCGAAAGCUUCUCUCAUUUACUUUCUUCACAAAAAGUAAAAAUACACAUCAGGCAAGCAUAUUAAAGAUUCUACUGUAAUUAAACCUUUAUCUAAAGUUAAUAUAGCUGAGAAUAGGAAGCUUUUUUCUUUUCCUGGAGUGUAUAAAGGGCCUUCUUUUGGUCUCAGUCUUCCUUUUAUUUUUCAAAUCCAUAGCAUGCUCUAGCUAUUCCAUGAUAAUCUGCUGGGAAAAGGUCAAGCCUCAUUUUCCAGUCCUCAGAAAAGAAGGCCUUGAGAAUAGCGGUACUUUCCCUCAGUCAUUCCUAUUCCCUGUCCUAAGGAUAUAUUAAGAUAAAUAGGAAAGAAAUGAGUUUUUAACUGUGAGAAAAAGAGA
This 1056-nucleotide long non-coding RNA is filed under the name Aotus nancymaae (Ma's night monkey). RNAcentral describes it as "lncRNA (ENSANAG00000038690.1)". Lineage: Eukaryota; Metazoa; Chordata; Mammalia; Primates; Aotidae. The record is from RNAcentral.